RNAcentral lists this transfer RNA (78 nucleotides) under Candidatus Bathyarchaeota archaeon. RNAcentral's name for it is "tRNA-Pro". It matches the Rfam family "tRNA". Rfam says of the family: Transfer RNA (tRNA) molecules are approximately 80 nucleotides in length. The record is from RNAcentral. Lineage: Archaea; Thermoproteati; Candidatus Bathyarchaeota. RNAcentral also lists the same sequence under 2 other names.
GGGGCCUUCGGCUAGCUUGGUCCAGGCUUGUAGACUUGGGCUCUAUAGACUCCGGUUCAAAUCCGGGAGGCCCCACCA